UUAGUGGCGGACGGGUGAGUAACGCGUGGGCAACCUGCCUUACACAGGGGGAUAACACUUAGAAAUAGGUGCUAAAACCGCAUAAGCGCACAGCUUCGCAUGAAGCGGUGUGAAAAACUCCGGUGGUGUAAGAUGGACCCGCGUCUGAUUAGCUUGUUGGCGGGGUAACGGCCCACCAAGGCGACGAUCAGUAGCCGGCCUGAGAGGGCGGACGGCCACAUUGGGACUGAGACACGGCCCAAACUCCUACGGGAGGCAGCAGUGGGGAAUAUUGGACAAUGGGGGGAACCCUGAUCCAGCGACGCCGCGUGAGUGAAGAAGUAUUUCGGUAUGUAAAGCUCUAUCAGCAGGGAAGAAAGAAAUGACGGUACCUGACUAAGAAGCCCCGGCUAACUACGUGCCAGCAGCCGCGGUAAUACGUAGGGGGCAAGCGUUAUCCGGAUUUACUGGGUGUAAAGGGAGCGUAGACGGCAGUGCAAGUCUGAAGUGAAAGGCGGGGGCCCAACCCCCGGACUGCUUUGGAAACUGUGCUGCUGGAGUGCAGGAGAGGCAAGUGGAAUUCCUAGUGUAGCGGUGAAAUGCGUAGAUAUUAGGAGGAACACCAGUGGCGAAGGCGGCUUGCUGGACUGUAACUGACGUUGAGGCUCGAAAGCGUGGGGAGCAAACAGGAUUAGAUACCCUGGUAGUCCACGCCGUAAACGAUGAUCACUAGGUGUCGGUGGGUAUGGACCCAUCGGUGCCGCAGCAAACGCAGUAAGUGAUCCACCUGGGGAGUACGUUCGCAAGAAUGAAACUCAAAGGAAUUGACGGG
This 811-nucleotide ribosomal RNA is filed under the name uncultured bacterium. RNAcentral's name for it is "bacterial SSU rRNA". It matches the Rfam family "Bacterial small subunit ribosomal RNA", at positions 92 to 917 of the family's 1533-position model. The record is from RNAcentral.